Non-coding RNA from Oncorhynchus mykiss (rainbow trout), 818 nucleotides. Lineage: Eukaryota; Metazoa; Chordata; Actinopteri; Salmoniformes; Salmonidae. The record is from RefSeq and is a predicted model, not a curated record.
UCCAACCCUCAGCUUGGAAGCUCGUUCAUACCCAGUUUGUUUUUGUUGUAUUUAAAAGCGUGUACUGUAGCCGUGGCGCAGAAUCAAACCAGUAUCGGAUCUACUUUGGUCUCAGCUGUUUUAGACUUUCUCUGCUGGAGAAAUGUGGCGGAUUGGAUUGUCUGACUGACCACAACUGUUUUGCAUACGAGCAAUGAGGGAACUGACCAAUCGUAGCCUAGACCUUUGUUCAAAGAUGAAGACACUUCAACAGGAAUCAUAUGAGCUUCAAGACCAAAUCACAGACCUACAAAAAGCAGAGGCUAGAUCCAAAGCGUCUCACUCAUGAGAAGAUGGACGAGUGAAGAGGGAGCCUCCCCGAGGCGAAGUACAGAAACAUCCUGCAGAAAGGCCAGUCUCACCGAGAGAAAUACCAGAAGAUGGCCACCAUCACACAGAAUGUCCUGCGGGGGAUCAUCAUUGCCAGUAAAGUGAACUGGCGAGAUGACCACCAAACUGAGAGCCAUCGCCAUGACGUUGGAGGACAUUCCCAUCUCUGAGGAAUGAGUAGUCAGCAUGGAAGGAAAAGUAAUUGUAACAUUGUUUAAGCAUAUGUACAGUUAUCAGAAGCUGUAGUGAGAGAGAAGGAACAAAGUGUUGAUAUCACAGUAAUGUAAAACACAUACAUAAUACACUGCUUCAGAGAUGGACAUUUGUACUGCAGUUGCACUGCAUUUUGUAUUGACCUUAACUUGAGUUAUGAAUAAAUCUACUAAUCAUCGGUUUGAAAUAAUAGUUAUUCUAUUGAAAUUAUGGAAAAUAAAUGAUGCAUGAUGAAA